This is a long non-coding RNA of Larimichthys crocea (large yellow croaker), 285 nucleotides long. RefSeq lists it as uncharacterized. The record is from RefSeq and is a predicted model, not a curated record. The transcript is spliced from 4 exons. NCBI's taxonomy places the organism in Eukaryota, Metazoa, Chordata, Actinopteri, Sciaenidae.
CUUCUGUCUGCUGGACUGGAGAGUCCAAACUGUAGACUGCAGACUCUGAGAUUGUGGAACUGCAGUUUGUCAGAGAUCAGCUGUGCUUCUCUGGCCUCAGCUCUGAAGUCCAACCCCUCCCAUCUGACAGAAGCUGGACCUGGGAGGAAACGACCUGCAGGAUUCCGCAGUGAAGCCUCUGUCUGAUCUUGUGGAGAGUCCACACUGCAGACUGACGACUCUGAGGUGGAAGCGGUGAGAAAGGUGUUUGUGUGAUGAGAGGGAUCAGCUGAGUCCUGAUGAUCC